Molecule: non-coding RNA, 31 nt
Filed under: Rattus norvegicus (Norway rat)
Lineage: Eukaryota; Metazoa; Chordata; Mammalia; Rodentia; Muridae
Source: RNAcentral
UGAAACUUUGAGCAUAGCUUCUCUAAUGUUU